RNAcentral lists this long non-coding RNA (13164 nucleotides) under Citrus sinensis (sweet orange). Its description in RNAcentral is "long non-coding RNA (CSIN_LNC002122)". The record is from RNAcentral. Lineage: Eukaryota; Viridiplantae; Streptophyta; Magnoliopsida; Sapindales; Rutaceae.
CUGCAAAAGUGUUAUGGUAUUUCCCUCCUAUACCUAGAUUUAGGCGUUUGUUUCAGUCCUCACAAACUGCCAAAGACUUGACUUGGCAUAUAAAUGAGAGGGAAAUAGAUGGUAAGCUUCGACAUCCAGCUGACUCACCGGCAUGAAAGUUAGUUGAUGAAAAAUGGCCUACCUUUGCUUUAGAGCCUAGAAAUCUGCGUCUUGCCCUAUCAGCUGAUGGCAUUAAUCCUCAUAGCUCUCUUAGUAGUACGUAUAGUUGCUGGCCCAUUCUUCUUGUAACAUACAAUCUUCCACCCUGGUUGUGUAUGAAACGAAAAUUUAUGAUGUUAUCCUUAUUAAUUUCUGGUCCACAACAGCCCAGUAAUGAUAUUGAUGUGUACUUGGCACCACUAAUAGAGGACUUGCAAACUCUAUGGGAUGUUGGUGUGGAAGCUUAUGAUGCCUACAAAAAAGAGUUCUUCAAUUUACGGGCUGUACUAUUGUGGACUAUAAAUGACUUUCCCGCUUAUGGGAAUUUGGCGGGUUGUACAGUUAAGGGUUAUUAUGCUUGUCCUUAUUGCGGUGAAGAUAUUCCAAAAUGUAGACUUAAACACAGUAAAAAAAAUGCUUAUAUUGGCCAUCGCCGUUGGCUUCCUCAUGAUCAUCCCUUUCGAACUCAAAAGCAACCUUUUAAUAAUAAACAUGAAAGAGAGCCUCCUCUGAAACCAUUGAACAGUGAGGCCAUUUUUCGAAAGGUGGAGAGUAUUGUAAACAAAUGGGGUAAAGUGAAAGAUAAAAAGCGCAAAAAAAGAGGCGAGAAAAAGGAUGAUGAUGACGAUCGUGUUUGGUGGAAGAAAAAAUCAAUAUUCUUUAAGUUAGAGUAUUGGAAGUACUUGCUUAUUCAUCACCAGUUAGAUGUUAUGCACAUUAAAAAAAAUGUUUGUGAAAGCAUCUACGGAACAUUACUAAAUAUCCCGGGAAAGACCAAAGAUGGGAUUAAGUCGAGGUGAGAUCUAAAAGUUUUAAAGAUUAGGCAGAAAUUGGCACAUGAUGUUAAAGAAAAUAAUCGUACUUUUUUGCCUCUAGCUUGUUACACCUUGACCAAAGAAGAAAAGAAAAAGUUUUGUGAAACAUUAAAAAGCAUAAAGGUUCCUGUAGGUUAUUCUUCAAACAUUAAGAACCUAGUGUCAAUGAAAGACUUAAAACUGUAAGGUUUAAAGUCUCAUGACUGUCAUGUUCUCAUGCAACAACUUUUACCUAUUGCUUUAAGGUCUAUCUUACCAGAUCAUGUUAAAUAUACCAUUAUUAGAUUGUGCUUCUUCUUUAAUUCCUUAUGCGCAACGGUUGUUGAUGUGACCAAACUUGACCAAAUGGAAGAAGACAUUGCGCUGACCUUAUGCUUGCUGGAAAAAUGCUUUCCGCCAUCCUUUUUUGACAUAAUGAUCCAUUUAACCAUCCAUUUAGUUAAUGAAGUUAGACUAUGUGGGCCGGUAUACUUAAAAUGGAUGUACCCAUUUGAGAGGAACAUGAAAGGCCUAAAGGCUUAUGUUCGAAACCGUAAUAACCCUGAGGGAUGCAUAGCUGAGAGUUACAUUGCCGAAGAGGCUCUGGAAUUUUGUGCAGAAUAUGUUUCAAACAUGCGUACAAUUGGGCUUCCUCCUGGACAUGUUGAAACCUCUUCAAUUGAUAAGCCUUUGCUUGGUGGAAAAUUUGAGCAAGUUGAUCAUUCCUUAAUUCAUCAAGUGCACCUGUAUGUAUUGCAAAACACAGAAGAAGUUUGGAGCACAACCGCACCUUUUCAACUUGGCUUAAUAAGAAGGUUAAUAAUAUAUGUUCCAUUAUAUAUUCUUUUUAGUAAAGUUAUUGUCAUGUUUAUACAAUUAUUCAUUCAUUACGAUUAUUAUUAUGUAGGUAUAUGAGAUGAUAGAUGAUGAUGAAGAUGUCUCAAACAUCUUGAGGUGGUUAUCUCAAGGACCUCGUCCUUUCGUAGUUAAGCACCCAGGAUAUGACAUCAAUGGGUAUCGUUUCCAUACUCGGGAAUGAGACGAACAACGAGUUCAUCAAAAUAAUGGAGUUAGUCUUAUUGCAGCAACUUUACAAGUAGCAAGUGCCAAGGACAAAAAUCCUAUUCUUGGUGACAUGUCUUACUAUGGAGUUAUUAACGAAAUAUGGGACCUUGACUACCAUAUGUUUAGAAUCCCUUUGUUCAAGUGUGAUUGGGUUCAAAAUAAUGGGGGUGUUAAAAUCGAUGAAUUUGGCUUCACUUUAGUGGACUUAAAUUGCUUGAGUCAUAAAUCAGACCUAUUUAUAUUGGCUUCACAAGCAACACAAGUCUUUUAUGUCUCUGAUCAACUUGAUAAAAAAUGGUCAGUUGUAAGUCAUAUGCAUUGUAGAUGUGUUCCAAAGAAGACAAGUGCUGAGGAUAUAGAUAUCAUGAUGGAACACAACCCUCUGACCAAUGGGUUACCAAAUAUUGAAAAUUUAAAUGAUGCGGACAGAUAUGCAAGAGAUGGCAAGCAUGGCAUAUGGAUUGAUGCUUGAAAAAGCUGAUGGCAUUUACUGCUUGUAUGUCUUAUAAUAGUUUUAUGUUACGUUAUCUUUUAUAAUAGUUUUAUGUUACGUUAUCUUUUAUUAUUAUAUGUUCCUUGUAUUGACUUUAGAUUACCUUUUUUGACAUUAUUUAUAUGUUAUAUAAUGUUCUAAUACUAAAUGUGCAUUUAUUGCAGGAGCAACCUUAUGGAUAAAGGAAAAGGACUUGCUUAUGAGCUCUCUAACGAGGAAAGUAUUGAUUAUUCGGGUAAUGAAGAGGUUCCUGAUGAAGAUAAUUCAAGGGAUGAGGAGGUUCCUGAGGAGGUUCCUGAUGAUGAGGAUGAAAAUGAUGUUCCGAAGAGCAGUUCCACUGUGAGAGGACCAACUAAAAACUCUGGCAGGAUGAGGAUGAGUGGCGGGAAGCUUGUAGUGAGGUACAAUGGGCUCGGUGUACCUGUUGGCCCUGAAGCUACUGAAUUAGCAAGCUUUAUUGGGCUGUUGGGCCGUACUUCUAUUCUAGAUAUUAACCAAGAAUGGAGAAAGAUUACUCCAGAUUUAAAAAGCCGUUUGUGGGAGUUUAUUAAGGUAAAAUGAUUAUUUAUAUUUAUAUAUCAGAAUUGAAUAAUGUAUAUGUUAAACUAUUUGAUCAUUAUGCUAUGUAUUUUUCUCAGGAACGUUUUAUUGUUCAUCCAAAUAGUAAGAAGCAAGUUUUCCAAGCACUUGGUAGUGCAUUCAGAAACUUCAAGUACUUGCUCACCACAAAGUAUAUCUUGCCACACAAGCAUAAUCGUAAAAGGCUGAAGCGGCCACCUUUUCAGUACAGUCAUAUUCCUCAAAAUGUUUAGGAUAAAUUUGUGAAUUCUAGAUUGUCCACUGAGUUUGAGGUGAAUACUUUUAAAUGAUAAACAUUUAGACAUUUCAUAAAACCAUCUUUAAAUCUAAUUAUGGAUUGUUUUAUGUAGAGAAUUAGGCGUCAACAGCAAAAUAAGAGAGCUAACAACAAGUGGAACCAUCGUUUAAGUAGAAAAGGAUAUGCUGGAUUGCUUGAUGAAAUUGUAAGUACUAUGAUACUAACUUGACCAUUCUUGUAUAACUAUUGGUAUAGAGAUGGUUGGUUUGAUGAUGAUAAAUUGGCAAACCUUUUGUUUUAAUUUACUACUUGCAAUUCAUGGUUAGUUAAGGAUGCAUACCAGCUGUAAUAUUAUUAUUUUUUUACAGGUUCUGUUGGAAAAAAAUUGAUAUUCAUCAAUAUGAUUAUUAUGCAAUUAGGAUGCACUGGAAGAGAAAGCUAAAAAAGGAGAAUUUAAAGCUGAUGCAAGAAAUGAUAUUCUUGCACGUUCAAUUGGAAGGCCUGCCACUUCUAGACAUAUGCAGGGUGUUGGGAAAUUUAUAUCGCCUAAAAUGUACUUUGACACCCCAAACAAUUCAUUUCAGAUGCGACAAGAGCGACUAAACAUACUAGAGAGGUUAGAUAAGCAAGAAGCAGAGUUGAGUGAUCUGAAGAAGAAGAUUAAAAAGCAACCUCGACAUUCAGAUGUUGGAAGCUCAAACUUUCCAUUAGAUGAGCAAACAAUUGAAGAUGAAGCUGAAGAAAUGACUGCUCGUAAUGAGGACAAGGUAUGAUACAGAUUGUUGUGCACAGUCAAGUUAAAAAAUGACUUAAACAUUGGAUUUUAGACAAUUUUAGUCGUAGUCAAAACCGUAAUAACAAACUUUUUUUGUUUGUUUUUUGGCUUGUCAGUCAAUCGGCAUGACAAGGAAUGGAUCACCUGCAAAGAAGAAGCAUGAAACGUUGACAAAGAAAAGGCAAUCACCAAGGAAGAUGAAUGAGUCAGCAAAGAAGCAAGUGACUGCUGAUUGUCCUGGAGACAAACUAGAAACUCCAACGAAAAGGCAAUCACCAAGGAAGAAGACGGAUUCACCAAAGCAGCAAGUGAUUGUUGAUUGUCCUAGAGAAACCUGAAACUCUUAAGAAAAGGCAAUCACCAAGAAAGAAGAAGGAAUCACCAAUGAAGCCUCACAAGAAACCAAGAAUGACUCUUGAUUGUCCAAGAGACAAACCACGCAGUCCAAAGAAGAAGACAUCACCAAAAAAGCCUCAAGAGAAGCCACUGUCAAGAAGAAGAACAAGGAAUUAUCAUAUUGUGCAUAUGAACCGUUCGCUUGGGCUUGUAAUAUUUGGAAAUCUUUAUGAAAAGAAGUUGGCUCAAAUGGGUUAUUACGUACCUUAUCAGUUGGAUGAAGAGGUAUACAAGCAUCCAACAAAAGCACAUAUUGGUCUCGAUAAAUGUCAAUCAUUGAUUUCGAUGAAAGAGCUAGGAGCAAAUCAUAUGCAUCUAUACAUCGCGUAAGUUUACAAAAUCAUAAUUACUAGUUUAUUUUCAAUUUUUAGUUUAUUGCUUCCUUUCUCUGGUUUCUUUUUUUUUAGUGAUAUUUUUUAUUGGCAACAUUCUCACUAUUUCAUCAUCUUAAUUGCAUCAGGAUGUUGCAUGCACACAUGGCGAAUGAUAUAGUGGGCAGACCAUUUGGGUUCAUACACACAGGACUCGUAUCAUCAGCCCAUGAUAAGGAUGCCUUUGCUACAAGGGUAAAAAGGGCACAAUUUAUUGCCGAACGGUUGAACAAAGCAAAUAAAGGGCAAAUGAUUUUCAUGCCAUAUAACCCUGGGUACAAUUCUAUUUACUUUAUAUUGAUGAUCAUUUACUAAAACUGAUUCAUAAUUUCAAUUUCUUUGUGUAAUAGUUUCCAUUGGGUGUUGAUUGUAAUUGAUAUGACGACAAAGCAAGCAUUUUAUUUGGAUUCUACGAACAACGAUUUGGGUGACGACAGUGACCUGAAGGACAUAGUUACCAAGUAUGGUGAUAUUGUAUUUCUAAUAUAAUUUUAUAUAUCAUGUUUAUUUACUUACUGCAUGUAUUAUAAUGUAGUGGGAUAUCAAUGCAUGUUGCGGUGACUGGUAAAAAAAAGGUGAAACCACAGAUCACAAAAGUUUUGGUAAGCAAUCAUGACUUUCUUUUUUCUUCUUUUUUUUUUUUUGGCAGCGCAUGACUUGUUAAUAUUUAAUCACUUGAAAGAAUUCAUGUGCAUAUGUAUUAAUGAUUAUUCUGUUGGUGAUAUAGUCCCCAAAUCAACCAGGGAGUACUGAGUGUGGAUACUAUGUGCUGAGGUUUAUGAAAGACAUAAUUGCAGACCCGAGUUUACUUCUCCAUGAUGUAAGUAAACAUUCUUUCAGAUGCAUUGUCGGAUUACUUCACUUAAUACUUUUAAUUUAACUAUAUAUAGUUUACUUUAGUUUGACAUGUGAUCAUCAUUUGACAGUUUAAAGGGAAAUGUGAAUACACUCAAAGUGAGCUUGAUGAAGUGCGUCUCGAGUAUGCUUCCUUUGUGUCUGAGCUGAUAGUAUGAGCAGUGGAGUUGAUGAUGAUAUUGUUUGAUAAAGUCUAAGUGGCAGUGAAUUUUGUAUGCUAGUAUUGUUCCAGAUGAUAGUGAAUCUUGAUAAAGUCUAAGUGGGUAAUGAUCCAGAUGGUAGUGUUGGGAUGUAGAUUUGUGAUAAUUGAAUAGAUGAUGUUUUGACAAUGUUAUGGUUAUUUCAAGUGAUGAUUUAGUGAUGUUUUGAUAAUAUUGUUGAGAUAAUUUGGAUGUAUUGAUUUUAUACAUAUUGUGAUUUUUAAAUUUCAAUGGAAUUUAUAAAAUUAUAAAAUAAUAAUAUUAAUAAUAUUAUUAUUAUAAAUAUUAAAAAUUUAUGAUUUCUGCUGUACCGUACAUCCGCAGCAGAAUUAUUUUCUAAUUUAAAAAUAUUAAAAAUGAUUUGCAAUAUUAAUAUUAUUUAAAAUAUUAAAAAUUUCUAAUUUUAAAAAAAUUAAAAAUUCUUUUAAUAAUAUUAUUAUUUAAAAAAAAUUCACAUCGUGACACCAUAUUAGCAUCAUAAAGCUGUGACACAUAAUUACGCGCCAUAAUUUAAAAUUGAAUUAAUAAUACCCGCCAAAUAUUUUUUCACAAUAAAACAAAAUUACCACUAAAAUAUUAAAACGACGUUGCUUUUGCUGUGACACAUUUGUGAUAGCUAUAAGCUGUCACAUACACUUAUGAUAGAUAAAUUACUGUCACAGAUUUAUGAGAGGGGCUACAAUGACAGAUAGAAACUCUGUCAUAAACAGGGUCGGAUGACAGAUAUUCUCUGUCAUGAUAGCCCAUUUUUCUCUGUCAUGAUAGCCCAUUUUUCUAGUAGUGAAUUUCUUUCAAUUUAAAAAAAAAAUCUAAAAUUAAAGCCGUUAAAUCACCCUAACAUUAAAUGAAUACUUCUAGGAUUGAGAAACACUUUGUAAAUUGAGUUCAUUUAACAUUAAAUGGUUUCUAUUUUAUUGAUUUUUCUUAAAUUUUUAAUUAUCUGGCUGUAUUUUGAGUGUGGGUUUUGAUACCCUUAAUUAAACACCAACUUUCAAACUGUUAAAAGUCAAAUGAGUGAUAAGUAUCUUACCAUCAUAAUUUUAUUUGAGACUGAGAAAGAUAUGUAGGUCAUGGCCUUCAGGCCUGGCCAAUCAAUGUGGAAAAAAUUUAUAAAAGAUAAGGGUCUGCUUUGAAAUUGAACUGAAAAAUUUAGCUAUUGACCCCACUAGAUUUACACUUUAGCCCCAUAUGGUUCCGCUCUUGCUUGUAGUGAUUUUAUCUUUUUGUAACUUCGUAUAGAAUUAAAUCUUUUUAUCAAAAAAGCUAAAAAAAAUAGAAAUUCUUACUCUAAGAUACGUUUACUAGUUCUUCCUCGGAAACAUGAACCCUUUUGAAACUUCGACCUGUCUUUUGUUCCCAAAGCGAGAUCAAUUCAAGUUGUGAUAUAAUAUUUGUUUGCGGACGAUAAAUCACAAUUCAAUUGCAUGUUCUUGGAUCAUUUAUCACUUUGAUUGUACAAUUAACUAUAUCUUCCUCGUAAUUGAAGACAGCUGAAAUAGAUAAAUAGAUGAUAUAACAUCAUAAAGAUAUUCAACAAAUGAACUUUAAGUGUAAAUUGUUUUUCAAUGUGUGGAGUACUUGUGCAUUGGGAAAGUAUACAUGCCUUUUGCUUCACCAUUUCCAUAAACAACAACAUCAUCAUGUGGCUCAGAUGGAUGAAGCAAGACAUUCACCAAGUAAGCACCAUAGCAGUUUGCUGAGACAAAGGUGUAGGGAAUUUCAGCUGCUUCUAUUGCCCUUCUUACUAUUCGUUUUUUCUCCAAGUAAGCUUCAAAAGGAGGCAGAGGCAUUACCCUGUCGUCUUCACAUCCAAACUCAGAUGGAAGAAACCUCUACCGGCCAAAACUUAGUGUGUUUUAAGAUCAUGUGCAAUAUAAAUUUUAUAAAAUGUAGCAUUGAACUGUAAUUUUAAUAUUAAGACCCAAGUCCAAGUUUGAAUCUCAUAAAAUAUGACACCCAGAACUCCUAAGAAUUGGCCAAAUAUACUCAUGGAUUCUCUUAAAUUCGAAAAAUGUCCACGGAAUUUCCUUUGACUGAAUAUUUCAUAAUAUCUUUUACUAUAGUAACCCCAAAUAUUGACUUUAUUUUUUUAAUAAAUAUAAUAAGAUAAUAUACAGAGAGUAAAUACUUGUUUAAUUUUAUAUUUUGAGUCAAGUGUUCAUUUAGUUUUUAUAUUUAAAAAAAAUCUCAAGACAAUCCCGCUAUUAAAUAAACUCCUACACUUACUUUUCUUUCUUUUUACAAUAAUACCGUAGGAACAAUAUUCUUUGAGAUGUUAAUGAGAAGAAAAAAAUAAUAAAUUAUCAAAUUAACCAUAAAAGUAACAAAAACAUUUACACAAACUUUUAUAUUAUUAUUUUACUAUUCAAAUUAAUUGGGUAAAUUAAUUUUUUAUAAAUAAUUGUGUAAUGUAACAUUUUUAACUAUAAUGAUGUUUUGAGGUAUUUUUUAAAAAAAAUAGAAACUAAACGGGUGCUUAGGUUAAAAUAUAAGGAUUAAACGAGUAUUUACCCUAAUAUAUAUUUAUAAAUUUUUAUAUUAAAAUUAUUAAUAACGAGACACAUUUUAUUAUUAAUACUAUAUCUAAAUUUAGGAAAAAGGACAUUAACACCUUCAUGCUUUAGUAAAAGGUCAUGGAGACCUUUUAUUUUUAGAGAUAAUUAGACCCGGAAAAUUUGUCCGAUAAAAUGGUCUCUUUACCAAAAGGAGUAUGACUGAAAAUUUCUAGACCAUUCACCACUAAAUUAGAGUUUGUGAUUUUAAGUAUUUUAUGCUAAUUGACACUAACUAGCCUUCGUGUUUUCGGUUUUUUGCAGCUAAUUAUCAUUCCUUAGCUUCAAAUCUGCAUUUAUAAAGUGUCAAUAUUUACGUAUGAAAAUUUUCUAAUGCUUCGGAAAAACACAACAAAAGCUUUUUCAAAAGGUAGAGAGUUCAAAGUUCAAACAAAUACCUUGAUGUUACCAGCAACUUUGAUUGCAUCAACAAUUUUCAGUUGAUCAAGAAAUUGGGGAUAAGCUACAGUAGAUAUCACGACAUCUACUUGUUGGAGAAAAAUCAAUUUUUUUCUAUUUUUAUAAAAAAAACCUUUUUAAAAUCGUUCUCAUAUAAUAUAUAAGAAUUUGUAAUCUAGAAAUCGUACCUUGAAAAUCCGAUUUAGAUUUUUCCACUGAAGUGAUUUAGGCUCCCAGAUCACGAUCCGUCACCACCACGCUUGUUAGAUCACGAACUGUCACUAAUGAUCUUCCAGGUUAUGACUCAGGUUUUAUCUGCAUUUGACGUGUGGGCGCCUUUAUCACUACCAAAGCAACUAGCACGAGAAAAUUUUUCUCUCAACAAUAGAGAGAAAAAUCUUUUUUUUUUAUCUGUAUAAAGUGGCUGCUCUCAUUUUCUUUAGAGAAAAUAAGCCUUUUUAUAUCUCUCUUUAGUGAAAACCAUAGGCUCCAAAUAAUGAAAAUCAAAACUCAAGUUACUUGCUUUUUCUAUAGGGGACCCACCUUGUAAAAUAACAUAAGGCUCCUUACACACAAGCUAAUUAAAUGGAGCCUCCCACUAAAUGAUAUAUUUAGGCUUUUGACCCAAAUAACUAGUUAUCUUGCAUAUUAAUCCAGUAGUGCUGCAGUUAAUUAAAUGAGUUAACCCGGGGAUCAUUUGGGAACAUACAAUAGUGGCUAUAACAAUUAAGUCUGUAAUUAAACUAGCCUAAUUAUUUAAUUCCAAAUCUACAAAAGAUUGGAAUUGACCUCCAUAAUUGUAUGCUCGAAUAAUAAUUCGUCCCAAGCCACAUUGGUUUCUUUACUGCACAAUCCUUUGUACCACAUCAUUAAUUAAAUCGAUAUCUCAACUGUCCAAUAAAUUUAAUUACAUCUUGUUCCUUGAUACUUACUGGUUUUCUCUAAUGAUCAUUUUAAAUAUAACAAAUUUAACAUCGGUUAUUUAUAAUAAAAAUAAUUUUCAGGAGAUUAAAGCUAAAAUUAAAGCUGGUGUGUAUGCAUAUGUUUUUAUAUGAAUGAUACUAAAAUUUAUUUGAGAGAGAGAGAGAGAGAGCAAAGAAUUACCUGCUGUACGGCCAAGGCGGAUGUACGGUACAGCAGUACAUCAAUAAAUUCAUACAUGAUUAAGACAAAUCAUUUAAUGAAUUUAUUACAGUCUAUACCUAAAUAAAGUGCCCAACUUUAUUUAUCAACUGUGAACUAAAUUUAUUUAAUCAUAAGAUAACUUGUAUUUAUGUUUUUUGUGAAUCCACAUGGUGAUCACAUAAAUACAUAUAAUAUGAUUAAAUGGACUUUAAUAAAAAUAUUAAUGCAAUUAAGAUAUUUGAAUAAAAUACCUCAUUUAUUUUAUUAAUCAGAAAAAUUAUUUAUUACAAUUAAAUAAACACAUAUGCUUUUAAAGAGCAUAUUUUCCCAACAAUCUCCCACCAGCUCUCAAAGCAUAUCUGGCACAUUGCACAUGCUCUAGGGCUCUAAGUGCAGGUUAUAAAGGUUUCCCACUAAUGGAUGUUGAGUGUUAGAAAAUGCAUAUUUAUAAAGGAGAAAAUCGUCAUUUUACAUUUCACGUCUUACUAACAACCCUUACUUUUAUGUAUUUAAGCUUCUUGUAAUUUAAUUAUGUGUGUUUUAUUUUAAUUAAGUAUUUUAUGUAUUUUAGGGGCAUCAUAGUCAUUUCACAAUAAACGAGAGAUCAAAUGGCAAAACGGACAUCACUUUUGAACUCAGGACGGUCGAAAACCUUAGGAGCAGCAUAAAAGAAAAAAUGGCACUGUUCACAUGUACGGUACUAUCACAUGUACGGUACGGUCUACAUUACUGUUCACGACACUGUUCUCAUAGACGGAUCGAUGACGUGGCAGCCACCUCUAAAUGACAUUAUUCACAUGUACGGUACUGUCUACGUUACUGUUCACGACACUGUUGGCAUAGACGAAUCGAUGACGUGGCAUUGACCGAUGAUGUGGCAUUGACUGAUGAGGUGUCACGAUCCUGUUGGACUAAAAUUCUUAUGCAAUGUUGAUCGAUGACGUGGCAGCAUAUCAAUGGACCAAAAAUCUCACGUAUGGUACAUGCAAUACACAGGAUUAUUUUCAACCAAACCGCGUUACUGUUCAAAACUGGCCAAACCAUGUUACUGUUCAAACCGCGUGUUCAAACUGCGUACUGUUGACUGAUGACGUGGCGCAAUCCUGAGCAUCCAAAUUGUUUUUAAUCCGAUGGCCAUGAUUUACUCAAUGUAUCUAUAAAAAGGGGGCCUCCCCCCUAAUUUGAUAUCUCUGAAUCUAUUUUUGGACUCCAUUUUCUGUAAUUCCUUCUCCAUCUUGUAUUUUCUACGUAUUUUAAUAAAUUUUUAUUUUGCCCCUAGUUCAAUUAUGUGUGGUUAAUUUUCUUUCAAGCUUGGAUUGAAGGUGAAGUCUCAACAUGUGUCAUGAGCUUUAUUUGGUAAAUUUAUUUUCUCUUCCCCUCUAGUUUUUGUGGAUGUUUUGACUUCUCAUCGACAAAUAAUAAUAUUCUUGUCUAGAUACCGCCCUGGUUUCACUGGCUUCCUAGUACAAGGUUAUUAUUAUUUGGCACGAUAAGCCCUUAGCACCAUAUUGAUUAGAGUGUGGCUCAUGAGAUGUGGAUUCCCCCCUCAUGAUUUAAUUGACAUAAAUAAGGAAUAUUUAGCCCAUGGUGCAUGUUGAUACGGAUCCAAAUACCCAAGUGCUUCAUUUCAAUAAAUUUAUCUUCAAUUUAUUCUUGCCAUUUUAAUUUGAGUUUUAGAAUAUUCCAAAUCAAUUUCACCAAAAAUCUAACCACCCAUUUACAAACUUAAUUCUACACACAAUUAAAAUCCACCUCCUCAUGUGAUCGACACUCGUCACCAUUAGUCUAUUCUACAAUAGAUUUGUGCGCUUGCGAGUUCAAUAAAAUUUGCACAACAAGCGGUAGCAACUAAUUCUCGAUAGAUUGGAUAUUCUUUCUCGAGACCAGCAGCAGCUACGCUCUCAGUUUCAGACUUUUCAGAAGCAAAGCAUCGAUCAGCGGCUUGUGCUUAUUAUUGGAUAGCGGACACUCCUUCGUUAUUUUGGCUAUGACCCUGGCAGUUCAUCCUCACCACCUCCAUUUUAGUUCUAUUCUUUGUCUUUUUGCACAUACAUUUCAUAAGCUGAGGGCAUAUUUCUUUCAUCUUGGUGAGAGCAUGUGAUAUCAUUUCUUUAUUAUUUUCUCUCAAUUAUCAUUCAUUGCAGUGACUAUUUUUAUUGGGUAUAAUUUCUUUAUGAGAGUGUCACUAUAUCCAGUGAGAUUUUAGGGUUUAACAUGUCAUUCUUGAAAGUAGCUGUGACAAAGUCUACUGGUCUGAUUCAUGUGGAUGGUUGAUGUGAGUGUGAUGUUUCUUUAGACUGGAGAUAAUGCUUAUACUUUUAUUUGAUUACUAUCAUUAGUCUGAUUAAAUAAACAUGAUUGUUAAAAAUAUAUAUAUAUUUUGGAUUUUGAAUUUUGUUUUCGCUUUAUUUGCCAGGGACUAGCAAUAAGCUGGUUGGGGGGUGUGUUGAGUAUUAGAAAAUGUAUAUUUAUAAAGGAAAAAAUUGUCAUUUUACACUUCAAGUUCCACUAACAUUCCUACUUUUAUGUAUUUAAAUUUCUUGUCAUUUAAUUAUGUGUGUUGUAUUAUAAUUAAUUAUUUUAUGUAUUUUAGGGGCAUCAUGGUCAUUUCACAAUAAACGAGAGAUCAGACAGCAAAACGAACAUCAAUUUUAAACUCAGGACGGUCGAAAACCUUAGGAGGAGCAUAAAAAGGAAAAUAGCAUUGUUCACAUGUACGGUACUAUUCACAUGUACAGUACUAUCUACAUUACUGUUCACGACACUGUUCAUAUAGAUGGAUCGAUGAUAUGGCAUGGAUCGAUGACAUGGCAUGGACCGAUGAGGUGUCACAAUCCUGUUGGACUAAAAUUCUUAUGCACUGUUGAUCGGUGACGUGGCAGCAUAUCAGUGGACAAAAAAUCUCGCGUAUGGUACAUGCAUCACACAGGAUUAUUUUCAACCAAACCGCGUCACUGUUCAACCCGGGUCAAAUUGUGUUACUGUUCACCCACGUGGUCAAAUUGCAUACUGUUGACUGAUGAUGUGACGCAAUCCUGAGCGUUCAAACUGUUUUUAAUCCGAUGGCCACGAUUUACUCAAUGUAUCUAUAAAAAGGGGGCCUCCCCCCUAAUUUGAUACCUCAGAAUCCAUU